Molecule: ribosomal RNA, 468 nt
Filed under: uncultured bacterium
Lineage: Bacteria
Description: bacterial SSU rRNA
Rfam family: Bacterial small subunit ribosomal RNA
Source: RNAcentral
UACGGGAGGCAGCAGUGGGGAAUAUUGGACAAUGGGGGAACCCUGAUCCAGCCAUGCCGCGUGUGUGAAGAAGGCCUUAUGGUUGUAAAGCACUUUAAGCGAGGAGGAGGCUACUGAGACUAAUACUCUUGGAUAGUGGACGUUACUCGCAGAAUAAGCACCGGCUAACUCUGUGCCAGCAGCCGCGGUAAUACAGAGGGUGCGAGCGUUAAUCGGAUUUACUGGGCGUAAAGCGUGCGUAGGCGGCUUUUUUAAGUCGGAUGUGAAAAUCCCCGAGCUUAACUUGGGAAUUGCAUUCGAUACUGGGAAGCUAGAGUAUGGGAGAGGAUGGUAGAAUUCCAGGUGUAGCGGUGAAAUGCGUAGAGAUCUGGAGGAAAUACCGGAAUGGCGAAAGGGCAGCCAUCUGGGCCUAAAUACUGACGCUCAUGUGCGAAAAGCGUGGGGAGGCAAAACAAGGAUUAGGAUACC